AAUAUAAUUUCAAACUUCUCUAGAGUUGCUAUAUGAUCGGUAAAUUAUAAUAUAUUUUAAUUGUCUACUGACAAAAACAUGCUCUUCUGAGGUCCCAAUUUAAAAAAAAAAUGUUGAAAGGAAAUACUGGAAUCCGAAGGAUCAAUUCCGAAAUCCUCAGCUAAAAAUACCCAAUCCAGACGUCCCGAAAAAGGUCCUCUAGAAAAGGUAAUACUUAUACACACCAACAGAUGUUUGG
Molecule: long non-coding RNA, 238 nt
Filed under: Mytilus galloprovincialis (Mediterranean mussel)
Lineage: Eukaryota; Metazoa; Mollusca; Bivalvia; Mytilida; Mytilidae
Source: RNAcentral